RNAcentral lists this ribosomal RNA (896 nucleotides) under uncultured archaeon. Its description in RNAcentral is "bacterial SSU rRNA". It matches the Rfam family "Archaeal small subunit ribosomal RNA", at positions 21 to 924 of the family's 1478-position model. The record is from RNAcentral.
CCUGACUGCUAUCGGAUUGAUACUAAGCCAUGCGAGUCAUUGUAGCAAUACAAGGCAGACGGCUCAGUAACGCGUAGUCAAUCUACCCUAUGGACGGGAAUAAUCUCGGGAAACUGAGAAUAAUGCCCGAUAGAACAUUAUGCCUGGAAUGGUUUAUGUUUCAAAUGAUUUAUCGCCAUAGGAUGGGACUGCGGCCUAUCAGUUUGUUGGUGAGGUAAUGGCCCACCAAGACUAUUACAGGUACGGGCUCUGAGAGGAGUGGCCCGGAGAUGGGUACUGAGACACGGACCCAGGCCCUAUGGGGCGCAGCAGGCGAGAAAACUUUGCAAUGUGCGAAAGCACGACAAGGUUAAUCCGAGUGGUUUCUGCUAAAGAAACCUUUUGUCAGUCCUAGAAACACUAACGAAUAAGGGGUGGGCAAGUUCUGGUGUCAGCCGCCGCGGUAAAACCAGCACCUCAAGUGGUCAGGAUGAUUAUUGGGCCUAAAGCAUCCGUAGCUCGUUUUGUAAGUUUUCGGUUAAAUCCAUACGCUUAACGUAUGGGCUGCCGGGAAUACUGCAUAACUAGGAAGUGGGAGAGGUAGACAGUACUCGGUAGGAAGGGGUAAAAUCCUUUGAUCUAUUGAUGACCACCUGUGGCGAAGGCGGUCUACCAGAACACGUUCGACGGUGAGGGAUGAAAGCUGGGGGAGCAAACCGGAUUAGAUACCCGGGUAGUCCCAGCUGUAAACUAUGCAAACUCAGUGAUGCAUUGGCUUGUGGCCAAUGCAGUGCUGCAGGGAAGCCGUUAAGUUUGCCGCCUGGGAAGUACGUACGCAAGUAUGAAACUUAAAGGAAUUGGCGGGGGAGCACCACAAGGGGUGAAGCCUGCGGUUCAAUUGGAGUCAACGCCGGAAA